UACGGGGGGAGCAAGCGUUGUUCGGAUUUACUGGGCGUAAAGGGCGCGUAGGCGGUCACUACAAGUCAGCUGUGAAAUCUCCGGGCUUAACUCGGAACGGUCAGCUGAUACUGUCGGACUAGAGUACAGAAGGGGCAACUGGAAUUCUCGGUGUAGCGGUGAAAUGCGUAGAUAUCGAGAGGAACACCUGCGGCGAAGGCAGCCCCCUGGGCUGAGAUUGACGCUCAGGCACGAAAGCGUGGGGAGCAAACAGG
This 254-nucleotide ribosomal RNA is filed under the name uncultured bacterium. Its description in RNAcentral is "partial 16S ribosomal RNA". It matches the Rfam family "Bacterial small subunit ribosomal RNA", at positions 524 to 776 of the family's 1533-position model. The record is from RNAcentral.